UUCCCUACCCCUGCUCUAGCAAGCUCUUUCUAGCGCAGCCACCGCUGUCGCCCAGGAACCUCCCUUCUCCCUUUCCUCGUCCCACCUCGUCUUUCCCGCUCCCAACGCCAUGGAGCCGGACACGGCCACAGAGGCAGCCACCGUGGCAGCCUCGGAUGCCAGAGCCACAAUCGUGGUCCUAGAGGAUGAGCAGCCCGGGCCGUCCACCUUUAAAGAGGAGGGAGCGGCUGCUGCCGCCACCGAAGCCACCACGGCCACUGAGAAGGGCGAGAAGAAGGAGAAAAUCACUUCUCCAUUUCAACUCAAACUUGCUGCUAAAACUUCCAAAUCUGAAAAGGAAAUGGACCCAGAAUAUGAAGAGAAAAUG
RNAcentral lists this long non-coding RNA (367 nucleotides) under Rattus norvegicus (Norway rat). RNAcentral's name for it is "long non-coding RNA NONRATT031298". Lineage: Eukaryota; Metazoa; Chordata; Mammalia; Rodentia; Muridae. The record is from RNAcentral.